Molecule: ribosomal RNA, 480 nt
Filed under: Methylocaldum sp.
Lineage: Bacteria; Pseudomonadati; Pseudomonadota; Gammaproteobacteria; Methylococcales; Methylococcaceae
Description: bacterial SSU rRNA
Rfam family: Bacterial small subunit ribosomal RNA
Source: RNAcentral
GGCUUGCACUGGUGGCGAGUGGCGAACGGGUGAGUAAUACGUAGGAAUCUGUCCUUGUAGUGGGGGAUAACCCGGCGAAAGCCGGGCUAAUACCGCAUACGCUCUAUGGAGGAAAGCGGGGGACCUUCGGGCCUCGCGCUAUAGGAUGAGCCUACGUCCGAUUAGCUAGUUGGUAGGGUAAUGGCCUACCAAGGCGACGAUCGGUAGCUGGUCUGAGAGGACGAUCAGCCACACUGGAACUGAGACACGGCCCAGACUCCUACGGGAGGCAGCAGUGGGGAAUUUUGGACAAUGGGCGAAAGCCUGAUCCAGCAAUGCCGCGUGUGUGAAGAAGGCCUGCGGGUUGUAAAGCACUUUAAGCGGGGAAGAAAGGCGGGAGGCUAAUACCCUCUUGCACUGACGGUACCUGCAGAAUAAGCACCGGCUAACUCCGUGCCAGCAGCCGCGGUAAUACGUAGGGUGCGAGCGUUAAUCGGAAUU